Molecule: ribosomal RNA, 253 nt
Filed under: uncultured bacterium
Lineage: Bacteria
Description: partial 16S ribosomal RNA
Rfam family: Bacterial small subunit ribosomal RNA
Source: RNAcentral
UACGGAGGAUGCAAGCGUUAUCCGGAUUUAUUAGGUUUAAAGGGUGCGUAGGCGGAACAAUAAGUCAGUGGUGAAAUCUUGCGGCUUAACCGUAAAAUUGCCAUUGAAACUGUUGUUCUUGAGUAUAGUUGAGGUAGGCGGAACGUGUCAUGUAGCGGUGAAAUGCUUAGAGAUGACACAGAACACCGAUUGCGUAGGCAGCCUACUAGACUAUCACUGACGCUGAGGCACGAAAGCGUGGGGAGCGAACAGG